AAGAAGGCUGGCAUUGAAGCUGCUAACUUUAAUUCGGGGGUUUAAUUCCUCCCCUUCUUU
This 60-nucleotide transfer RNA is filed under the name Placida sp. 1 NY-2013. Its description in RNAcentral is "tRNA-Ser". The record is from RNAcentral. Lineage: Eukaryota; Metazoa; Mollusca; Gastropoda; Limapontiidae.